AUUAACCUAUUUAUUUAUUCUAGACCCAAUAUAAAAAUAAAUAGACUCAAAAAAUAAAAGUCGGGCACCAAAAUGCUCGAAAAAAUAAAAUGUACACGUCAAAAUAAUCAGCGCGAAAUAAAUAACUCGGAAAAAUACAGCGUUUGGUCGGAUUUUGAAAUAAAAAUUACGACCGUUUAAACCGCUCAGACUGAUCAACAUAUGACCAAAAAUAGUCGUAAAAAUAUUUUUAGUAUGUCAAAUUAAACCACGUGAACCGCAG
This 262-nucleotide long non-coding RNA is filed under the name Lathyrus oleraceus (garden pea). RNAcentral's name for it is "Pisum sativum (pea) long non-coding RNA (PSAT_LNC034532)". Lineage: Eukaryota; Viridiplantae; Streptophyta; Magnoliopsida; Fabales; Fabaceae. The record is from RNAcentral.